RNAcentral lists this ribosomal RNA (464 nucleotides) under uncultured bacterium. RNAcentral's name for it is "bacterial SSU rRNA". It matches the Rfam family "Bacterial small subunit ribosomal RNA", at positions 330 to 792 of the family's 1533-position model. The record is from RNAcentral.
UCCAGACUCCUACGGGAGGCAGCAGUGAGGAAUAUUGGUCAAUGGUCGGGAGACUGAACCAGCCAAGCCGCGUGAGGGAUGAAGGUACAGAGUAUCGUAAACCUCUUUUGUCAGGGAACAAAGGCGGGGACGUGUCCCCGGAUGAGUGUACCUGAAGAAAAAGCAUCGGCUAACUCCGUGCCAGCAGCCGCGGUAAUACGGAGGAUGCGAGCGUUAUCCGGAUUUAUUGGGUUUAAAGGGUGCGCAGGCGGUUGUUUAAGCCAGCGGUAAAACCCGGGGGCCCACCCCCGGCCUGCCGUUGAAACUGGCGGCCUCGAGUGGGCGAGAAGUAUGCGGAAUGCGUGGUGUAGCGGUGAAAUGCAUAGAUAUCGCGCAGAACUCCGAUUGCGAAGGCAGCAUGCCGGCUCCACACUGACGCUGAGGCACGAAAGCGUGGGUAUCGAACAGGAUUAGAUACCCCCGUA